This 558-nucleotide ribosomal RNA is filed under the name fungal sp. HL6-097-01A. Its description in RNAcentral is "eukaryotic LSU rRNA". The stretch from base 192 to 345 matches the Rfam family "5.8S ribosomal RNA". Lineage: Eukaryota; Fungi. The record is from RNAcentral.
CCGAUCUCCCAACCCUUGUAUUCUUAACCGAUUUGCUUUGGCGGACCCGUCACUGCUGUGACCGCCGAAGGGAUACAAAUGGGGUUUUUUCAUUUGAAACAACCCCCCGUUCCCCUGGGCCCGUGUCCGCCAGAGAUGCAUGAAUGCUUGUUAUGAAUUAAGCUGUCUGAGUGAUAAGAAGAAUAAGUCAAAACUUUCAACAACGGAUCUCUUGGUUCCGGCAUCGAUGAAGAACGCAGCGAAAUGCGAUAAGUAAUGUGAAUUGCAGAAUUCCGUGAAUCAUCGAAUCUUUGAACGCACAUUGCGCCCUCUGGUAUUCCGGAGGGCAUGCCUGUCCGAGCGUCAUUGCUGUUCCUCAAGCCCGGCUUGUGUGUUGGGCCUGCCGUCCUAUGGACGGUGACCCGAAAAGCAGUGGCGGCGUCGCGUCCGGUCCUUAAGCGUAUGGGGCUUUGUCACCCGCUUUGGAUGGCCGGCCGACUCCGUAGCCCAUCGUGGUUUACCACAUUCUUUGAUGGACCUCGGAUCAGGUAGGGAUACCCGCUGAACUUAAGCAUAUCA